This 253-nucleotide ribosomal RNA is filed under the name uncultured bacterium. Its description in RNAcentral is "partial 16S ribosomal RNA". It matches the Rfam family "Bacterial small subunit ribosomal RNA", at positions 524 to 776 of the family's 1533-position model. The record is from RNAcentral.
GACGUAGGGGGCGAGCGUUGUCCGGAUUCAUUGGGCGUAAAGAGCGCGUAGGCGGCUCGGUCAGUCGGAUGUGAAAACCCGCGGCUCAACCACGGGCCUGCAUCCGAUACUGCCGGGCUAGAGGUAGGUAGGGGAGAUCGGAAUUCCUGGUGUAGCGGUGAAAUGCGCAGAUAUCAGGAGGAACACCGGUGGCGAAGGCGGAUCUCUGGGCCUUACCUGACGCUCAGGCGCGAAAGCUAGGGGAGCGAACUGG